GAGUUUGAUCCUGGCUCAGAUUGAACGCUGGCGGCAUGCCUUACACAUGCAAGUCGAACGGCAGCAUGAUCUAGCUUGCUAGAUUGAUGGCGAGUGGCGAACGGGUGAGUAAUACAUCGGAACGUGCCCUGUAGUGGGGGAUAACUAGUCGAAAGAUUAGCUAAUACCGCAUACGACCUGAGGGUGAAAGUGGGGGACCGCAAGGCCUCAUGCUAUAGGAGCGGCCGAUGUCUGAUUAGCUAGUUGGUGGGUAAAGGCCCACCAAGGCGACGAUCAGUAGCUGGUCUGAGAGGACGAUCAGCCACACUGGGACUGAGACACGGCCCAGACUCCUACGGGAGGCAGCAGGUGGGGAAUUUGGACAAUGGGCGAAAGCCUGAUCAGCAAUGCGCGUGUGUGAAGAAGC
RNAcentral lists this ribosomal RNA (406 nucleotides) under uncultured microorganism. Its description in RNAcentral is "bacterial SSU rRNA". It matches the Rfam family "Bacterial small subunit ribosomal RNA", at positions 9 to 414 of the family's 1533-position model. The record is from RNAcentral.